UGUUGAGAAGAGAGAGAGAGACCGAGUGGGAGAGAUAAGGAAGGGUUGGGCCUUUACCUUUUGAUAGAUUGGGCUUGUGUUUAAAUGGUUCUGGGCCUCCUCCUUAAUUAUUUUACUGGGCCAUUGUAUUUGAUUUAUUGAGCCCAACUAUUUUAUUCAGUAAAUGGGCUACUGUUUUAAUACAGUUGGGCCAAAUUCAUUUUAAUUAUAUGAGUUGCCCUUAAUUGGUUCAUUGUGGAUUAAUUAUUCUUUUAUUGAUUGAGCCAGAUUUAUUUAAUUAUUCAGUCCAAUUAUCUGAUUCAUUCACUCGAGCCAUUUAUUAUUUUUAUUUGGGCUGCAGAUGUAAAUAAUAGUGGGCUGCCAUUAUUUAUUUAUUCAAGCCCACUUUUACUUAUCUAAUUAUUAGGCUGCCUUAUGUUUGGGCCUUUUAAUUAUUGAAUUAUUACUACUAUUAUUAUUUCUUCCAUAUUUAUUUAAGCUCGAUUAAUGAUUAGCCUCGAUUAUUGAUUAAUUCGAUCCGAUUAUUUCUAAUUAUGGGUGUAUUAUUACGAGACCACUAAGGAAACGAGUCGAUUUAGCUAUUCCCUUUUUAUCGAUUAAAUAGCGCGAGAUUUAUUUAAUUAUCAAGUGGGUUAGAACACCCUAAGAUGAGCGGAUUAAUUUUAGUUAGUUAUUCGACUUCAUGAAGCGAGACUUAAUUAGUUUUACUAAUCUGAUAGCCAAGAUUAACAUUAGAAUAUCCUCGAUUAUUAGUCCCGAGUAAUAAUUCAUGCAUAAGAGAGUCAUGCAUAGUUAAUUUUGCAUUCUCAUUAUUUGAGGAUUUUGUUCGAGCAAUACCUUAUUUAAAUUUCUCGCAAUAAAGGUCAAGCGCGAGAGCAAUAACUAGAUUAAGAGCCGCUACACCACAGCAAGAGUUGCUAUCAGGUUGAGCAGCUGCCGGUGGUGAUGAAGUGACGAGUGGAACCCUUUUGUCUUAUUUCUAUGUAUUAAUGAACUCUGGGGAUACAUGUCUACAUACAUGUAAUCAGAACCCUUAUUCCGCUGCGUACUCAGAAGUCUUAUGUUAUUUUGGCUAAGUGGGAGUUAUUCGAACUUACUAGUUGAUUUGAGUCAAUAUGACUAAACCUCCGUUACAUUAUAACUAUUCAUUUUGUUAACAACGAUUUACGAUCCUUC
Long non-coding RNA from Salvia miltiorrhiza (redroot sage), 1176 nucleotides. RefSeq lists it as uncharacterized. Lineage: Eukaryota; Viridiplantae; Streptophyta; Magnoliopsida; Lamiales; Lamiaceae. The record is from RefSeq and is a predicted model, not a curated record. The transcript has 2 exons.